GUGAUGAGAGAGGAAAGGAAGGAGCCGAACGCGGAAGUGGUGGCGGCGCCUGGGGAGCAGGCGGAGGCGGUGACUGCCAAGUCUGAGACAGGAACCUUGCGUUGAGGGGAGGGGAAGGCGGGGGUUGGCAGAAGGGCAUCCGCCUUCUAGGACCGACACGCGGUGCGGGAGCAGCCGGGCCUCCUUGUCUCCGCUUCCACGAGCGCCCCGAGUGAUGGCGACGGUGAUGGCGGCAGUUUCUCCGACAGCCUGGAUGAAGCUGCGCUCCGGGAGAUUGAAUUGGUCUCAGAAUAAAAGAAGUGGCAAAAAUGUGAAAAUGCACUUGUUCUAGGUAAUGGAAGUAUAUCUUUUCCCUCUCAUUGUUCUGAACAUCUCAUGUAUUAUUUAAUAAGCAAAUAUUGA
RNAcentral lists this long non-coding RNA (402 nucleotides) under Cavia porcellus (domestic guinea pig). RNAcentral describes it as "lncRNA (ENSCPOG00000032952.1)". Lineage: Eukaryota; Metazoa; Chordata; Mammalia; Rodentia; Caviidae. The record is from RNAcentral.